AGGGUUUGAUUCUGGCUCAGGAUGAACGCUGGCGGCGUGCUUAACACAUGCAAGUCGAGCGAAGCAGUUAAGUUGAUUUCUUCGGAUUGAUUCUUAAUUGACUGAGCGGCGGACGGGUGAGUAACGCGUGGGUGACCUGCCCCAUACCGGGGGAUAACAGCUGGAAACGGCUGCUAAUACCGCAUAAGCGCACAGAGCUGCAUGGCUCGGUGUGAAAAACUCCGGUGGUAUGGGAUGGGCCCGCGUCUGAUUAGGCAGUUGGCGGGGUAACGGCCCACCAAACCGACGAUCAGUAGCCGGCCUGAGAGGGCGACCGGCCACAUUGGGACUGAGACACGGCCCAA
This 344-nucleotide ribosomal RNA is filed under the name uncultured bacterium. Its description in RNAcentral is "bacterial SSU rRNA". It matches the Rfam family "Bacterial small subunit ribosomal RNA", at positions 8 to 334 of the family's 1533-position model. The record is from RNAcentral.